UACCAUGCAGUCGACGGUGAAGCAGAGCUUGCUCUGUGGAUCAGUGGCGAACGGGUGAGUAACACGUGAGCAACCUGCCCCUGACUCUGGGAUAAGCGCUGGAAACGGCGUCUAAUACUGGAUAUGUGACGUGACCGCAUGGUCUGCGUCUGGAAAGAAUUUCGGUUGGGGAUGGGCUCGCGGCCUAUCAGCUUGUUGGUGAGGUAAUGGCUCACCAAGGCGUCGACGGGUAGCCGGCCUGAGAGGGUGACCGGCCACACUGGGACUGAGACACGGCCCAGACUCCUACGGGAGGCAGCAGUGGGGAAUAUUGCACAAUGGGCGGAAGCCUGAUGCAGCAACGCCGCGUGAGGGAUGACGGCCUUCGGGUUGUAAACCUCUUUUAGCAGGGAAGAAGCGAAAGUGACGGUACCUGCAGAAAAAGCGCCGGCUAACUACGUGCCAGCAGCCGCGGUAAUACGUAGGGCGCAAGCGUUAUCCGGAAUUAUUGGGCGUAAAGAGCUCGUAGGCGGUUUGUCGCGUCUGCUGUGAAAUCCGGAGGCUCAACCUCCGGCCUGCAGUGGGUACGGGCAGACUAGAGUGCGGUAGGGG
RNAcentral lists this ribosomal RNA (591 nucleotides) under Microbacterium maritypicum. RNAcentral describes it as "bacterial SSU rRNA". It matches the Rfam family "Bacterial small subunit ribosomal RNA", at positions 52 to 657 of the family's 1533-position model. Lineage: Bacteria; Bacillati; Actinomycetota; Actinomycetes; Micrococcales; Microbacteriaceae. The record is from RNAcentral.